RNAcentral lists this ribosomal RNA (595 nucleotides) under uncultured bacterium. RNAcentral's name for it is "bacterial SSU rRNA". It matches the Rfam family "Bacterial small subunit ribosomal RNA", at positions 956 to 1533 of the family's 1533-position model. The record is from RNAcentral.
GCAACGCGCAGAGCCUUACCAACCUUGAACAUGUUUCGUAUGGUUUCCAGAGAUGGAUUCCUUCAGUUCGGCUGGCGAGAACACAGGUGUUGCAUGGCUGUCGUCAGCUCGUGUCGUGAGAUGUUGGGUUAAGUCCCGCAACGAGCGCAACCUUCGCCUUUAGUUGCCAUCAUUUAGUUGGGCACUCUAGAGGGACUGCCGGUGAUAAGCCGGAGGAAGGUGGGGAUGACGUCAAGUCCUCAUGGCCCUUACGGGUUGGGCUACACACGUGCUACAAUGGCGGCGACAAUGGGCAGCGAAGGGGCGACCCGGUGCAAAUCCCAAAAAGCCGUCUCAGUUCGGAUUGUACUCUGCAACUCGAGUGCAUGAAGGUGGAAUCGCUAGUAAUCGCGUAACAGCAUGACGCGGUGAAUACGUUCCCGGGCCUUGUACACACCGCCCGUCACACCAUGGGAGUUGGUUUUACCCGAAGCUGGUGCGCUAACCGCAAGGAGGCAGCCAACCACGGUAAGGUCAGCGACUGGGGUGAAGUCGUAACAAGGUAGCCCUAGGGGACCUGGGGCUGGAUCACCUCCUUAAGCUUGGAUUCCCGGGC